AGAAUAUUGGGUUUUUUUCCGUAUAUAUUUUAUUUGGGUGUGGAAGUGAGAGGGAAUUGAAAGCGCCAUUUUCGCCAACAUCCUCUGAGCGCAUUGGGGGCUACUGGAGUGAGGGAGAGAGCAGUAGAGUGGGUGGUGGGGAGGGGGCUGGGCGUACAUGUGUUUGCUGCAUUUGUACUUGUAUCCAAGUGAGUUUUGUACUAUUUCUCUUUUUCAUUUUCGCUGUUUUUGUUCUCCAGUUGUUAGACAUUGUUGUUGUAGCCAUUGUUGUUGUUCGGCAUUCAGUGUUUGGAGCCUUCCCUUUUCAAAUUAAACAUUCAGUAGUCACUUUUAUUUGUUGUACUUUGUUCAAAUUAGUUUUCCAGUUUUGCGGAAGUUACCCACACACAGCCAAACACUCACUCACACACAGGCACACACACAGAUGCAUGGAAACAGACACAAAUACAAUAAGGGCCGCCAUCUUCGCAUUCAGGACAAUAUUGAUGUCGCUUCUUUCACUCUUGGCAUCGUUUUCAUUAUUCUAUUUUAGCUUUGCCACCCCCAAAUCCCCAUUUCCCAAUUCCUCCCCCCUUUUACCCAUUGUUACACUUACGAAUCAAUGAUUUUUUGGCCAGAUUUUUAGGGGCGUGGCAUCGGCCAUCGGUAUGUAUCUUUAUCCCGCUUAGUAGUGUUGGUAUUAUCAGGGGGCAUAAAUAGAAGGGUGUAUAUACUUACAUGGGGUCUUUUCCGCUCUGCCUGCUCCACAAUUUCGAGGCGGAAAAUUUAUUGAGGCUUUUCCUUGUCUUUUUAUGACCAAACAGAACAUUUCAUUGCUGCCAAAUGAAAUUGGUCGGACACAAAAUGUAAUCAAGUUUUUCGAAGCUCACGCUUAAAAUGUUUCGGAACUUUAUAAACAGUUUCCAUGGCAAUUAAACGAUUCCAACAAGGCACAUCCGACCCCGCCUCCUGCAGCCACUAUCCCGGGCCAAUCCGUGGUCACAGCCGUAUCCAUGUUCCCUGUCAGACUACGGUUAAUCGCCGCCUUAGCACGGCAGGAGUCCGGACGAAGGACUCGGGUGGCCAGUUGAGCGUAAGGAAGCGGUGCAUUGAAGCUUUCGCAGGGGAACAAUUAACUUAUGGGCAAACAAUAACGCCGAGGAAUGCACGCUGACAGGAACCAGCCACCAGGAGCACAUCCUGCUCAGCCUCACCGUCAGCUCCAUCUCCGGGCUAUAUAUAUCUACAUGAAUAUCCUUCGUCCUCAUCCCGCGCUGCAGCAACAGCGGCAUGAUCCAGCAAUAAUCCCUCUUUUGUCAGCAAAUUUAUUGCACACAAGCAAGCCGGCAAAGGAUAUGCCAAGCGGAUGAAACGGAGCGCUCGGUGGGCAGGAGGGGGAAGGACUGCGGAUACCGAUUCGGGAUUGGUCUCUGGCUUGGCUGAGCCCAGGCUUUGACAAUACAAAUUUUUAUUGCGAAAUCUGCAAAAGGCAAAUAAAAGAUUUGACACUUGAAUUGCUUUGACUGCAAGGAUUCGGCAAGGACAAUCGCCACUUUCGGCUCAAACAAAAGGACACAGUUGCUAGCCACCAUCGAGAUGGUCCGCCUUCAUUCUGCACUGGGAACAAAAAGAGGUCGUAAGAGAUCUAAUAUGCUUCAUUUGGUAUUCAAGUCAAAAUGGCUAAGGCAGCAUCUAAUUAUUAUUAUUUAUUAUUUUUUAUAUUAAUAUUAUAAUGCAUUAUCUGUAUAAAUCGAAAUUAUUAUAUAUUUCAGCA
Molecule: long non-coding RNA, 1753 nt
Organism: Drosophila simulans
Lineage: Eukaryota; Metazoa; Arthropoda; Insecta; Diptera; Drosophilidae
Exons: 2
Source: RefSeq, a predicted model, not a curated record